GGGUGAGGUGUGUGUAUGUGUGGGGGUGAGGUGUGUGUAUGUGUGGGGGUGAGGUGUGUGUAUGUGUAGGGUGAGUUGUGUGUAUGUGUAGGGUGAGGUGUGUGUAUGUGUGGGGUGAGGUGUGUGUAUGUGUGGGGUGAGGUGUGUGUAUGUGUGGGGUGAGGUGUGUGUAUGUGUAGGGUGAGUUGUGUGUAUGUGUAGGGUGAGGUGUGUGUAUGUGUGGGGUGAGAUGUGUGUAUGUGUGGGGUGAGGUGAGGUGUG
Long non-coding RNA from Oncorhynchus keta (chum salmon), 261 nucleotides. RefSeq lists it as uncharacterized. The record is from RefSeq and is a predicted model, not a curated record. The transcript is spliced from 3 exons. NCBI's taxonomy places the organism in Eukaryota, Metazoa, Chordata, Actinopteri, Salmoniformes, Salmonidae.